RNAcentral lists this ribosomal RNA (403 nucleotides) under uncultured Colpodellidae. RNAcentral describes it as "partial small subunit ribosomal RNA". It matches the Rfam family "Eukaryotic small subunit ribosomal RNA", at positions 30 to 432 of the family's 1831-position model. Lineage: Eukaryota; Colpodellaceae. The record is from RNAcentral.
GCUUGUCUCAAAGAUUAAGCCAUGCAUGUCUAAGUAUAAGCUUUUAUACGGUGAAACUGCGAAUGGCUCAUUAAAACAGUUAUAGUUUAUUUGAUGGUCGCUCACUACAUGGAUAACCGUGGUAAUUCUAGAGCUAAUACAUGCGUCAAGACCUGACUUUUCGGAAGGGUUGUGUUUAUUAGAUAAAAAGCCAAUCCAUGCUCUGCAUGGUAUUGUGGUGACUCAUAAUAACCGAUCGAAUCGCAUGGCGUAAGCCGGCGAUAAAUCAUUCAAGUUUCUGACCUAUCAGCUUCCGACGGUAGGGUAUUGGCCUACCGUGGCUAUGACGGGUAACGGGGAAUUAGGGUUCGAUUCCGGAGAGGGAGCCUGAGAAACGGCUACCACAUCUAAGGAAGGCAGCAGG